AUCAUGAUGCUUUUCAUGAACGGCGUCGUGGAUUCGACGUGAACGAAGGCGGUUCGUGGAUUCAAAUCGUCGGCUCGUGGAUUCGAGUGGGCGUCGUGGAUUCGACGUGAUCGAGGCUUCGUGGAAUCGAAGUGGUGACGUUUCGUGGAUUCGGAACAUGGCGUUCGUGGAUUCGAACGUGAGGGCGUGGACAACCCGGAGGAUUGUGCGAGAUUCAUAGAAGGUUAAGAGAGGUUGAGUCCGUGGAGUCGGUAAUCACCUUGUAAUCUUUUCUCUUAGUGAAUUAUUUUUUUCGCGUGUUGGUUCCGUGGGUUUUUCUCCAAGUUGGAGUUUUCUCAUGUAAAUCUCGGUGUGAUUUUUAU
RNAcentral lists this long non-coding RNA (362 nucleotides) under Ananas comosus (pineapple). Its description in RNAcentral is "long non-coding RNA (ACOM_LNC036385)". The record is from RNAcentral. Lineage: Eukaryota; Viridiplantae; Streptophyta; Magnoliopsida; Poales; Bromeliaceae.